Molecule: ribosomal RNA, 253 nt
Filed under: uncultured bacterium
Lineage: Bacteria
Description: partial 16S ribosomal RNA
Rfam family: Bacterial small subunit ribosomal RNA
Source: RNAcentral
GACGAACCGUGCUAACGUUAUUCGGAAUCACUGGGCUUAAAGGGCGCGUAGGCGGUUCGUUAAGUCCUGUGUGAAAUCCCCCGGCUCAACUGGGGAACUGCACAGGAAACUAGCGGGCUUGAGUUCGGGAGAGGGAAGCGGAAUUCCGGGUGUAGCGGUGAAAUGCGUAGAUAUCCGGAGGAACACCGGUGGCGAAGGCGGCUUCCUGGACCGACACUGACGCUGAGGCGCGAAAGCUAGGGGAGCAAACGGG